GUCGUUGUUGUCGUUGUUGGUUGGUGUGAAGCAGGCCCAAGAUGCCGGGUGGCCAGCCCAUCCUAGUCCGUCCACCAAGAAGAGCUACAAAAGGCAGCGGCUCUCGGGUACCGCAACAAAGACGAGGCCCCGGAUCGAUCGAGGAAGCAAGCAGCUGCACCCAAACCCUAGCCGACGCCCCCUCCUCCUCCUCCGGAUUCUUGCGGCGUGCGAUGUGCCGGUGCCAUGGCGCUGCGCUCUCCCUCCAGCACUUCGAGGCGGACUCUGGGACCCCGUUAUUCGCCGCCGGCGGACUCUCUGCCUCCCACCUCUCAGGUACCUAAUUGCGCUCUCGUUCGUUCGAUCCACCUACUAUGCCUGCAAUUCGCUGCCCGACUGCCUUGUUCUGACUUUUAACACCAAAUUAACCCCAUCAAACGGGUUUUAUGCUAGUAACAAAUCAAAUUAUAUGAUGCGCCUUAGCCUUUUCCCCAGACAAUAACAAAGAUAUUGGUUUGAUGCAAUUUCCUAAUUCAGACCCUUGUUAGGAGAGGGUUUCUGUAAUUUGACCCAAUAAUGGUGAAUAUUGCCAAUAAGUGCCGGAUUCAAGUGGAGGCCUAUCUUACAAUAACAAAGAUAUUGGUUUGAUGCAAUUUCCUAGUUCAGACCCUUGUUAGGAGAGGGCUUCUGUAAUUUGACCCAAUAAUGGUGAAUAUUGCCACUGAAAUGUGCACAAUAAGUGCCGGAUUCAAGUGGAGGCCUAUCUUAGAUUUUUGUGCUAAAUUUUUUACUUUUGCUUGCUUGAAGAAGUGGUGAUAAUUACUCAGUGGUUGGGUUUGGCCCCUGGCCCUGCUCGCACAUUGACUACACAGUGGAUAUGAUGAACCCCUUUUAUAUGCACAUAAAUCUAAGAUGAAAAAAUUGGUACUUUUGCACUGUAGUUUGAAAAUUUUGGUGCUUUUGCAGAGUAGAGUAGUUUUUACUGAAGCAAUCUGUAGUGGUUGGGCGGCCCCUGGCCCCGCUAGCACAUUGACUACACUGCUGAUAUGAUGAAACAUUGAUUCCAUGAUAUAUGGGCAUUUGAUUUACUUUGAGUGAAGAAGAGUAUGCCAUCUCUUAGUUUCCCUUAGUGACUUUUUGUGGUUCUUCUGCUGUACUGUUGUUAAACCAUUUCCCAAACCCACUCUAGUAGUAUAAAUUUGAUAGCUUUAGACAUACUGGUGACAAAUCUUCUGAACGUUUGAUAGUAUGGAUUCUAGAAGGACUACUGUUAGCCAAUUGCAGCCAUGCAUGCUCUGUCGAUCGUUAGCAUCCACUAACAUGCAUGAAUAGCUGCUUUAACUCAUGUAUCACUAUCAAACGGUUUAUAUGCUAACAAAUUAUAUGAUGCGCCUUAGCCCUUUCCCCAGACAAUAACAAAGAUAUAUGUUUGACGCAAUUUCCUAGCUCAGAUCAGACCCUUGUUACGAGAUGGUUUCUGUUUUAUUUUAACUUAGUGACAUUUUGUGUUUCUCGAAAUAUAACUUUAACCUAUUUUAUAGCUUCUAUAUUAAUGAUGUUGUAACUUGUACUGUUAAAUCAUUUAUGAAAACAUGUACUGUAAUAUAAACUUCAUGUAGUCAAUCUUGAUAGCUUCUAGGCAUACGAGUGGUCAAACUUUUGAAAGUUUGAUAGCAUGGAUUCUGAAAGGACAAUGUUGGCCAAUUGCAAGCCAUGCCCUCUCGGUUGCAUCCACUAACAUACGACCUGGGCAGAAAUGAUGCUAGAACGGCGGGUGACCAGAAAUGAUGGGACCGUAUUCAACGUUUGCUGGAACCGCCCCGGUAAUUUGCUACCACCCGCGGUCACCAUUUUUUCGCUGCAACCUGCAUCAGCGUUUGGCUACGACCUGGGCAGCACUUUGCUGGACCUAGCGUCGGCAUUUGCUGCAACCGGCCAGGCGGCAUGCUGGAAGUAUCCACCGUUGCUAAAAUUGGACGCAUUCCUGGCCGCCAACUUUUUUUUGCUGGAACCAGCAUUAUGUUUUGUUGGAACCUGCUAGUUCUUUUGCUACAAUCUUUUUCUUUGAAAUUUCUGACGUGACUUUCUUGUAGCAACCUUUGUUAAUUUUAGCUGGAACUAGUUAAUUUUUUGCUACAACCGACUAUUAGAGAUUUUUGCUACUGAGAUUUUUUUGCUGGAUCAGUGGCUUUUUUUGCUACAACCGAUGUUUUUUUUAGCUGGAACCGACUAAAUAUUUUGCUUCAAUUGACCAUUUUUGGUUUUUGCUACCGAAUUCUGUUUUUUGCUGGAUCAGUGGCUUUUUUUGCUACAACCGGUGUCUUUUUAGCUGGAACUGACUAAAUGUUUUGCUUCAGUGGUUUUUGCUACCGAGUUCUUUGCUGGAUCAUGGCAGUGCUAGUCGAUGGUGGUGGUGAGCCGAAGCCGCCGACACGAGAAUUUUUUCUACAACCAUGACGACUGUGGGAUGGAACCGGUCAACAGUAGAAGCUGACACACAAUCUGCGGCGGUGCUGCAAUCCCGGUGGCCGUGAGACGAGGGACGGCAAGCUGACAACAGCAUCAGUCCCGCCGGGGCUGCCGACGCCGACGAAUGCGUUUACCGCAUCUAGCGAAGGAGCAACACGACAGAGGAGGCGUGGUCUGGUGGCGACUACGCACUUUCCAGGGAUGGGACCCAAUAGAGGAGGCGUGGUCUGGUGAUGACUAUGCAUUUUCUAGUGGUGGGAGAUUAGAGGACCAGAUCUGACGGUUAGGGAGAAAAGAAUCGAAUGGACAGGGUAUGACCGGCCGAACUACUGGGCCGGUGCGCCGGCGCAGAUCACUCGCCAAUAAUUUAUGUGCUAUACCGGGGAUUUUGGCAGCUUGAUGUAACUCUUACUGUUAACUCCAUGUGCUGUUCUAAGCUGCAUGGAGCAGGUGCUUUGUUAAGUACUGCAUGUUAAUUAGUGUUUGGUAAUUGAAUCUGGUCUGCGUGUUCAUUAUCUAUGGAUUGUCUGUGAUAAUUUAUAGAAUAAUUCAUGGUAUGACACUUAAUCGAAUGGUGAUUUAGUAUUUCUGGCUUCACUCGCAUAGACUGCUUGCAGAAAUCAUACAUUGUCACUGUUGUCAUAUAUUGGAAUCUCUGCUAUAAAAAAACUAAAGGAACCGGCUUUGGCAAAGCAGCUAACCGAGUUGCAAUUUGUUGCUUUCCUCCUUUUCUAAAAACUAGCAUUGCAACGGGAGAAUAAAACACAUGCUUCUAGCACAAUAAGCACGACUCAAAACCCCUUCAUAGAUUCACGUUAUCUAUUUUAACGUAACGCCUCAUCCAUUUUAUUGCUAACCCUCAUUCCUGCCUUUAUCAACCAUGAUCGUGAUGGCCAUCUGAUUGUGUUGCGUCCCAAAGUGGCCAACCCCCCAUUGCCUAAACCCUAAAUCCACUCACACUUGCCACUGAACCACACCUGAGUCCGGCGGCGCGCGCCCGGCCGCCGCCCGCGCAGCCCUGGCCUCCGUCCGCGCAUCGUGGCCGUCCCGCGUCUCCCUCGUCCGUCCGUUCGCCACCGUAGCAAGCAAGCUUGCUCGCAUCGAUGGGCGGCUGGGCGGACGGGCCGCAGCGGUGCGGCGGCGAGCUUCAAGGCGUUGGCGGGAGCUGAAAUUCCCCAACUGCUAGCCUUGACUGGUAUUCGGGGCCCUGGCAAAAUUGCCUCCGAAACUGAAGAUACACGGCUUUCGGGCCUGUGUUCACAGGGCCGGUAAAAAAAUUUAAGGAUCAUACAAUUUUAAGGGGUCUAUUCGGGUUCGUUUUUCCACUGAAACUGUAAAAAGCGGUUAUUUUACGGGUUUGACCACCUAUACGGGUUCUGCUAGAGAUGCUCUUAUGGUAUGUAAAACCAAGCAGGUAGUCUUGGUAAAACAUUGUUACCUAACUAUGGUAUGGAAAACCUGUUUAUGUUGUCUAAUAAUUGUUGUGCUAUAUACUGGGGAUUCUAGUAGGUAAUGAUGUAACUCUUAUUGUUUUUUUUGGGGGAAAACCUCCAAUCUAUUUAUUUUUAAUCAUGGCAGUACAACGAACACCAGAAAUCAAAAUUACAUCCAGAUUCGUAGACCACCUAGCGAUGACUACAAGCAUUGAAGCGAGCCGAAAGCGCGCCGCCGUCAUCGCCCCUCCAUCGCCGGAGUCGGACACAACUUAUUGUAGUAGACAGUCGGGAAGUCGUCGUGCUAAGGUCCCAUAGGACCAGCACCACAGAACAACAACCGCCGCCGAUGAAGAAUAACGUAGACCGGAAGGAUUCAAACUGAAGACACACGAACAUGGACGAACAACGAUAAGAUCCGAGCAAAUCCACCAAAGAUAGAUCUGCCGAAGAUACACCUCCACACGCCCAUCAACGAUGCUAGAUGCACCGUCGGAACGGGGGCUGGGCGGGGAAACCUUUAUUCCAUCUUUAGGGAGCCGCCACCGUCUCGCCUUCCUGAGCAGGACAAAAGCCCUAACAAGAUUGAAAAAAUCGACUAAAAACGAAGCCCUCCCGCCGGCCCUUGCCAGGAUCCACCGUGUCUCCAUGGCCCUAGGGCCACCGGAGACGAGGCGGACCUGUGCUGGCGCCGGAGAGAGGCACAAACCCUAAGCUGCAUGGAGCAAGUGCUUUGUUAAGUACUACAUGUUAAUUAGUGUUUGGUAAUUGAAUCUGAUCUGCCUGGUGAUUAUCUAUGGAUUGUCUGUUGUGAUAAUUUAUAGAAUAAUUCAUGGUAUGGCACUUAAAUGGUGAUUUAGUAUUUCGCUUCACUCGCAUGGACUGCUUGUAGAAAUCAUAAAUUGUCAAUGUUGUCAUAUACUGGAAUCUCCGCUCUCAAACAAGAAAAAGAACCGGCUUUGGCAAAGCAGCUAACCGAGUUGCAAGUUGUUGCUUCCUCUUUUUUUAAGCAUAUCGAGCCACGCCCCCAACAAGCCCCCCCUUUCAAGGCCCUUUAUUAUCGCUGGCGCUGAAAGAUCGUCCCAAUCACGUCCCAAAAGCCCACUUUUCAUCUGUUAGGGCCAAAUUUGGAGCCGGCGGACCAAGGGAGGUCCUAUUUGGCGCUGUAGGCGCCCGAACAUGGAAAUGGCGCCUACAGCGCGCCCUCUGUGGGCUUUUUAAGUGCGGCCCAGGAAGAUCUCGUGAAAAAAUAACGCAUUAAAUUAGCGCCACAGGGAAUCGAUCUCAGGCCAUACAACCGUGCCGCUGCUUAGUUUAACCACUAGACCACCAGAAUGCUAGUGAACAAAAGCAACGCGAACUGUAUUAGGACUAAUGCAACCACGUUAUUUAUUACUCAACCAUUUACUGUACCACUUGGAUUUUUGAGUUAUUUGCAAACAAUUUAGAAACUGUCCAUUUUCUUUAAUGAAAAACAGUUCAUCAAAUUUCGAAAAAAGUUCAUCAGGUUUGAGAAAAAAUUCAUCGAAUUUGAAAAAAGAUCAUCAAUUUUGAAGAAAAAAUCUUCGGAUUUAAAAAAGUUCAUCGAUUUUGAAAAAAAGUUCAUCGGAUUUGAAAAAAGUUUACCGAUUUUGAGAAAAGUUCAUCGAAUUUGGAAAAAAGUUCAUCAAAUUUUGAAAAAAAGUUCAUCAAUUUUGAAAACAAUUCAUCAGAUUCGAAAAAGUUCAUCCGAUUUGAAUAAAAGUUCAUCGAAUUUAAAAAAUAGUUCACAAAUCUGAAAAAAGUUCAUUGAUUUGAAAAAAAAGUUCAUCAAACUCGGAAGAAGAAAAAGGAAAAAACAGAAAACAAAAAAGGAAAAAAAGAAAACCGAAAAGCCUAAAAGAAAGUAAAAGUUCAUUCUACACAAAGCAGGUGCGUUGGUGUGCUGGUUGCACCCACGGUACUACGUGCCCCAGGUCCUUUGUUCGAAUCACACCUAACACAUGUCUUUUUUGCUUCUGAAAACAGAGAAGAAAAAAAGUUAUUGGGCCGGCCCAUCGCGCGAACGCUGUAGGCGCCGGUUGCUUCUGAAAACAGAGAAGAAAAAAAGUUAUUGGGCCGGCCCAUCGCGCGAACGCUGUAGGCGCCGGUUCGCCAAAUAGGAAACCCCGCGGACCAAGGCCGAACUCGACGCGCUGGGGUGCCCGGGGGCACCGGGGUAAACGGUUGUUGGAGCGAAAACAAGCGGGCCCGCCGAGUCAGUGACUCGGCGCCUUCAUUGUACUCAUCGUCUCGGUUCCUGCAGGAAUCAAAGCGAAGGUUGCCGCGCCGGUCAGUCUUCCAUUGAUGCCUCAUGGGAAGCGCAGUGAAGGCGUGGCGACACGCGUCCCGCACGCUCCUGCCAUGCGUACACACGGCGGACAUCCUCUCGCCGCCCACCCACAGUUAUAAAUGUCGCCCCUCCCUCGCUGGUUAACACACACUCCCUCGCCAUAAAACCCUCUCCCGCUCUCCCGCUGACACUCCUCUCAACCUUUCACCGCCGACGCGCGUCACUCCUCUCUCUCUCCCCCAGCGACGACAACGGCCGAGCGCUACCCAGGCGAUGGUGCGGCGGCCAACGGCUUCGGCUGCCGCCACCUGCACGAGGACGAUACACGCCUCCUCUACGAGGCCGACUACCCAGCGCCGCCGGAUAUGCGGGUGCCGGGCUUGUGGAGGAUGAGAGCUGGCGGCGUCCCGGUGCCUCCAGUGCCCACCAGCGCUGAUCGGUGCGCCGAGAUCGUGCGCAUUUGGUCAUCCCUGCCAGAGCAGGCGCGGAACCAGGCGAGGUACGCCCCUGAUAGCAACACGCUUUGAACGACAUACUUUGACCACCGCCACGAGGAGCAGCUCGCCUCCACCAAUGGCGUCGAGCCCCGCGGCCGCCUCAACUCCAAGGGGCGCCGCCAAUUGUGGGGUGUCCCCGGCCGCACCCUCGAAGCCGUCCUCGAGUACAUCGAGGCCGGCAACACGCCGCGCUUGGAGUACUCGACUCCCCCUCCUUCUCUUGCCGCCGCGGCGAAUGGAGACCGUGACCUCCUCAUCGUCGGGCUCCCUUUCCUCUUGAUCACCGGCUCUCUGCCCCGUCAAGCUGGAGCCGCUGGAGACGCCGCUCGGGCGUCGCACCCGUGAUGGCGCCCUUGUCAUCAACGAGGGCGGGCAUGGCCCCUCUCCUCCCUCUUCCACGUGUCGUCCGGCCGAAGACCGAGUCGGGGCUGCUCCCCGUGAAGGAGCAUGAGGCCAUGGCCGCCACCGACGAGGUCACCCUCAAGUGGGCGCGGGAGGACUACGUUCGCGAGGAGAUGGCGCGCUAGCGCCGCGCCCUCGAGGAGAUCGCUGCUCGGUGCCGCGUGCACGAGGAGGGUGGCGUCAUCAUCCUCGACGACAACGACGAGGAGGCGCCCGGGCCGUCCAAUCCCCCACGCAUCGGCGACGCUGGUCAGGGGUGCAGCAGGGGCGGCGGCGGCACGCAGGACAGCGGCGAGGAUGACGGUGAUGACUACACCAAGUUCUACAGGCUGCUCGGCAUGUAGAAGGCGGGCGGCGGGGGCGACGCAGUAGUUCGUUUUAGUUAGUUUUUAAAUUAUGUUUUCAGUUUUCUGUACAAAUAUCAAUGAAAUCGCCAAGUUUGGCCAAAUUUGUGUUGUGUUUGGAAAAAAAUUAGCAGAGUUUGGUUUUCAAAAUAAGGCGUCUGGGCGGCCUUGGGGCGGCGGUUGGGAAACUGACUGCCCCCAUGCCGAUUUUUUGGCCGGCGCGCCCCCAUGCGACGUAUUUCAAGCCCAUGGGGGCCGAACGAGUGGAGAUGCUCUUAAAAACUAGCAAACAUGCCCGUGCAUUGCAGCGGGAGAAUAAAACGCAUGCUUCUAGCACAAUAAGCACAACUCAAAACCCCUUCAUAGGUUCAUGUUAUCUAUUUUAACAUACCGCCUCAUCCAUUUUAUUACUUAUCCUCAUUCAUGCUUUCAUCAACCAUGAUCGUGGUGUCCAUCUGAUCGCAUUGCGUCCGAAAGUGGCUAAACGAUCUCGGCCAUUGCCUAAAUCCUAAACCCACUCACACUUGCCACUGAACCACAACAUCACAAAUGAAUUUCUAAUAGUUUUAAAACUAACCUCGGCGAGCUAGACGUGACGUCCGCCCUCCCGCUACAACCUACACCGCCCAUUGCAAAGCCUCUGCCCAUCCGUUUCGAAAAGAAGAAAAAGCCUCUGCCCACUGAAAAGGCGCAACGUGUUGGAGGGCAAAUGGCAACGCUCUACUCUCGUUUUUUGUUGAUAAUAAUAUAUUUUUGUGUCUGUCCUGUUUGUGUUACGGAUGGAGGAGGUAGGGCCGGUUGCACAGACCCAGCCACAAAUAAAAGAUGCAAAAAGGAUGUGACCGCGCUGCGAAAGACAGAGGUGAAAACAUGCGUGUCUUUUCUUCGCUCCUGAGCGCUGGCGAAAUUUCGGAGAGAGGCCGUGGGGUAGGAUGUACGUUCAUUGGAGUAAACUAUAGCAGCUUCGGGUAGGACGUGGUUGCAUGAGAGAGAGAAUGGGUUAUAUGUCGAACACAUACUAUUUCACUCUCCGUCGGGGAUAGGCCGAGAAAAAAGAAGCGAAGGAUGAUGCCUGACCAGUGAACAGGAGAGGGUGGUCCGGUGGAGAUGGUUGGUUGGCUUUGUUCCUCCGAAACUGCUCUGCGUACAAUGAUUUUCUUCGUCCGACCAGUACGACCAGAGAGUAAGGUUGUUGUUCCUCCACCUUGUACUACCCUUGCUCUCGUGGGCCAAUGAUGAGCAUGAGCCGCACCGAUCGACACACAAGCCAGCAGCUUUGUAGUACGCGAGGUCAAUUUGUGAUCUAAUUUUUUCCGCUUCAUAUGUACUCUGUAUUUUAACUGUAUAUUUACUCAUUUUGUUAUGUAUGUAGUUCAUAUUAGAAUCUCCUAAAGGUCUUAGAGAAUCUACAACCGGUCUUCUCAAAUUCGUCGCAUACGCCGGGCGGACGGUCUGGUCAUAAAAAACCGAUCCAAACGGGCACCUCAAACCGGGCUCAAACGUCCGGACUGACUAACACCCUUCAUAUCCAGCCCAAAUAUUGUUGGGGAACAUAGCAUGCAAUUUUAAAAAAAUUCCUACGAUCACGCAAGAUCUAUCUAGGAGAUGCAUAGCAACGAGAGGGGAGAGUGUGUUCACAUACCCUCAUAGACCGAAAGCGUAAGCGUUAGUUAACGCGGUUGAUAUAGUCGAACAUCUUCACGAUCCAACCGAUCCAAGUACCGAACGUACGGCACCUCCUAGUUCAGCACACGUUCAGCUUGAUAACGUCCCUCGAACUCUUGAUCCAGCAGAGGGCCGAGGGAGAGUUUCGUCAGCACGACGGCGUGAUGACGGUGUUGAUGAUGUGAUCCGUGCAGGACUUCGCCUAAGCACUACGAUGAUACUAUCGGAGGAGUAAACGGUGUGUGAUGCCCCCGAUUCAAUUAUACACUAAUCAUGCACGCAAAAGUGUACGAUCAAGAUCAGGGACUCAUGGAAAGAUAUCACAACACAACUCUAAAAAUAAAAUAAGUCAAACAAGCAUAAUAUUACAAGCCAGGGGCCCCGAGGGCUCGAAUACAAGUGCUCGAACAUAAACGAGUCAGUGAAAACAACAAUAUCUGAGUACAGACAUAAGUCAAACAAGUUGCCAUAAGAUAGCUAGCACAAACUGGGGGACAGAUCAAAAGAGGCGCAGGCCUCCUGCCUGGGAUCCUCCUAAACUACUCCUGGUCGUCGUCAGCGGCCUGCACGUAGUAGUAGGCACGUCCAGUGUAGUAGGAGUCGUCGUCGACGGUGGCAUCUGGCUCCUGGGCUCCAACGUCUGGUUGCGGCAUCCGAGAAGAAGAGGAAAACAAGGGAAAAGAGGGAGCAAAGCAACCGUGAGUACUCAUCCAAAGUACUCGCAAGCAAAGGAGCUACACUACAUAUGCAUGGGUAUAUGUGUAAAGAGGCAAUAUCAAUGGACUGAAUUGCAGAAUGCCAGAAUAAGAGGGGGAUAGUUAGUCCUAUCGAAGACUACGCUUCUGGCAGCCUCCAUCUUGCAGCAUGUAGAAGAGAGUAGAUUGAAGUCCUCCAAGUAGCAUCGCAUAGCAUAAUCCUACCCGGCGAUCCUCCCCUCUUCGCCCUGUGGGAAAGCGAUCACCGAGUUGUCUCUGGAACUUGUCUGGGUGUGUUUUACUAAGUAUCCGAUUCUAGUUGUCAUAAGGUCAGGGACAUAGCUAUUCGAAUAGAUCAACUUCCCUGCAGGGGUGCACCACAUUUCCCAACACGCUCGAUCCCCUUUGGCCGAACACACUUUCCUGGGUCAUGACCGGCCUCGGAAGAUCAACACGCCGCAGCCCCACCUAGGCUGAACUGAGAGGUCAGCACGCCGGUCUACAUCCUAUGCACGCAGGGGUCUGGGCCCAUCGCCCAUUGCACACCUGCAUGUUGCAUGGGCGGCCGAAAGCAGACCUAGCCCCCUUAAUACAAGAGCAGGCUUACGGUCCAAUCUGGCGCGCGCCGCUCAAUCACUAACGUCACGAAGGCUUCGGCUGAUACCACGACGUCGAGUGCCCAUGUCUGUUCCCGCGUAGUUGGUUAGUGCGUAUAGGCCAGUGGCCAGACUUAGAUCAAAUAUACCAAGAUCUCGUUAAGCGUGUUAUUAUGAAGCAACCGCGAACGCCGACCAGGGACAGGACCACCUCUCACCUAGGUGGCCUCAACCUGCCCUGUUGCUCCGCCACAAAGAUCCACACAGAGGGCCGUCGGGACAAAGGUCCUUUCAGCCCCCAAUCCUUGAAUCACUCGCUGGUACUCAAUGAGCCGACCCGACUUUAGUCACCAUCUGUAAAGUAUGUAUAUAUGUAUAUUAUAUACCCGUGAUCACCUCCCGAGUGAUCACGGACCGAUAGUAUAGCAAGGCAGACUGACAAGAAUGUAGGGCCAGUGAUGAUAAACUAACAUCCUAUACUAAGCAUUUAGGAUUGCGGGUAAGGUAUCAACGACUGUAGUAACAAUGACAGGCUAUGCAACAGAAUAGGAGUAACCGAAUAUUAACAUGCUACACUACUCUAAUGCAAGCAGUAGAGAGAACAAUAGGCGAUAUCUGGUGAUCAAGGGGGGGGGGCUUGCCUGGUUGCUUUGCCAAGAAGGAGGGGUCGUCAACACUAUAGUCGAACGAGGCAGCAUCAGCGUCGGUCUCGUAGUCUACCGGAGAGAAGAAGGGGAAGAAACAGUAAAUACAAUGCAAACAUUAGCAUGACGAUGCAUGACAUGACAAUGAGCGGUGUUAGGUGUGCCCUAACGUGGUAGUAGGUGAUAAUGGCGAAAGGGGGAAACAUCCAGGAAAGUAUCCCCGGUGUUUCACGUUUUCGGACAGAUGAACCGGAGGUGAAAUAUUAUAGGUUCACUAUGCUAGGGACACAUGGCGGACAAACGAGCUGCGUAUUCGAAUUCGCCUCGUCGUUCUGAGCAACUUUCAUGUAGAAAGUAUUUUCAUCCGAGUUAUAGAUUAUUUUAUAUCAUUUUCUAAAGUUUUAUUCAUUUUUUGAUUUUAAUUAUUUAUUUAAAAAUCCAACAUUAUCCAGAACAGUGAACGAUGACGCAAGCAUGACAUCAGAGUGAUGUCAGCAGGUCAAAUGGUCGGUUGACCAGUCAAACCAGAUAGGUGGGUCCAGUGGGACCCACAUGUCAUUGUCAGGGGCACUAACAUGGGGUUUAGACUAACUAAAUGGGUUAAUUAGCGGGUGUGGCCUAGUAGUUAGUGAGAGAUUAGGGUUUUAAUUAACUAAUUUAAUUAAUUAGCAAUUUAUCUAUUUAUUUAUUUCAUUUACUAAGGUGGGGCCAAUAGGCCAGUGAGACAGGGGCGGCACAGUCAGUAGUUGACUCAGUCAACUAGUCAACAAGGGGGCCCUGGGCUCACCAGUCAGUGGCCCAGGCGGUGGGACCCACGGCGCCAUGUCGGACACCGGCCGGAAACGCGCCGGAGCUAACUCCGACGAGCCAAACGCGGCGGCGCGGCUUGGGAGGGGCGCGAAUUUCACGCACAGGGGGUCUGCUGGGCUGUGGCCGGGUGCGUUCGACGCAGCUCGGUGUCGCGCAUCGAACGGUGGUGGCCAGAGGUGUUGGAACGGAUGGACGCGAGCGCUUCGAGCUCGCUGGCGGCGAGGUGCUCUGGGCGAGCAACAACAACAAUGAUACGGGGAUGUUUCGGGCAAAUCGGAGAGCGGGGCGAGGCCUACGUGCACGCGCGAGCACAACGGCACGAUCCCAGGACCAAAGGUUCACCGGACGGUUGCCGGCGACGAGCGCGUGCGGCAACGCGUUCAGGCGCUCAACGAGCUAGGGGCUAGGGGAGACGGGGAAGCGCGUGCGCGGGUGCGUUGGGUUCCUGGAAGCACCAGGAACACGAUGUCGUGCUCAGGCGAGCACGACGGAGAGCAUGGCCACGGCGGCGAGGUGAUCCACGGUGACGGGCUCACGGCAAUGGCGACAAGGUAGCUACGGUGCACGAGGGCUUAACGGGGAGGAGCAGGAGGCGGAGGAGCUCACUGUGCGGCACGCAAGAUGGCUCGUGGUGGUUUAGUAGCAGCAGGGGGCGUCUUUGGAGUUGGUGAAGAACGGCGGUGACCGGAGAUGUGGAAGAAGGGGACCGUUGUAGCAGCGCCUCCGAGCUCCCGCUGCGGCCACCGGUCGACGAGGAAGACGAUGGCGGAGACGACGGACACGCUGGCGAGGCGAGGCGAUGGCUAUGGCCGCGCGUUUCACGGUGGCGGGUCCAUGGCGGCGGUGGUGUUAGGAUGCGGUGGGAUGGAUCUGAGGGGAGAUGGAGAGGCGCAGUGACCAAGAGGGAGAGCGGGGGUGAGUGGGGAGUAGACCGGAGGAGGCGCGGCGCUGGCGAUCUUAUCUCCUCCCGGCGUCGGUGCCGGUGAGGCGGUCGGGCGGGGACGCACCCCUGUUCUGACCCGAGUCAGGGGAACAGGAAAGGGAGACAAGGCAGGAGGGGCCGGGCCGGUUGUUGGCUAGCUGGGCCAGGUGGGCCAGUCUGGUGUGAGCUGGGCUGCCUAGUCCAGUGGGGGGGGGGUCUUUUCCUUUUGUUUUAUUUUCACUUUUUUAUUUUAUUGUCUCUUUUAUUUAAUUUAGAGCAUUUAAGUAUUUUACAAAAUUGUGUCUCCUACACCAUAAUUACCUAUGCCAUUUUGGGCACAGUCCGAACAUUUUUGUUUUAAUGUUUGAAAACUUUGGUUGUUUGUCUUAUUUUGAAUUUGAUUUUUGGACCGGUUUUGAACUAACGAAAGAUUAGCAACAGUAACGGAGGUGACGUGGCAUCAUUAACAGAGUUUCACUAUAGCAUAAUUAUUCAGGCGUUACAACUCUCCUCCACUACAAGAAAUCUCGUCCCGAGAUUUAGGAUGUAGAAGGAAACAGUGCGGGGUAUUCUUCGCGUAGAUGAUCCUCACGUUCCCAAGUGGCUUCAUCUUCAGAAUGGUGCGACCACUGAACUUUGAGGAACUUGAUCGCCUUCUGACGUGUGCGGAAUUUAGCUUGGUCAAGAAUGCGAACCAGAUGCUCUUUAUAGGAGAGGUUCUACUGCAAUUCGAGCACUUCAUGAUCCACUGCUCGGAUUGGGUCCUUGAAGCAGCGGCGGAGCUCUGACACGUGGAACACAUCGUGAACCUGAGAAAGGUUCGGCGGGAGCUCCAGUUGGUAUGCCACUUUUCCACACCUUUCCAGAAUAGUGAAAGGACCAAUAUAGCGAGGAUCCAGC
RNAcentral lists this long non-coding RNA (13667 nucleotides) under Triticum aestivum (bread wheat). RNAcentral's name for it is "long non-coding RNA (TAES_LNC015791)". Lineage: Eukaryota; Viridiplantae; Streptophyta; Magnoliopsida; Poales; Poaceae. The record is from RNAcentral.